Long non-coding RNA from Lutra lutra (Eurasian river otter), 620 nucleotides. RefSeq lists it as uncharacterized. The transcript is spliced from 4 exons. The record is from RefSeq and is a predicted model, not a curated record. Lineage: Eukaryota; Metazoa; Chordata; Mammalia; Carnivora; Mustelidae.
CAGGAAAGUCGGGGUUAAGGUUGGAAGCUUUUCAGCACCAAGAAGGAGAGGCCACCGCUGGGCCAGCCCAGGCUGUGCCAUCAGGUGAGCAAACUGAAACUCAGAAAGGACACAACAAGCAAUAGUGGUGGAGUGUCAGGCUCUUCCCCGCAUGCCCAAGGCUGCCUUCCUUGGAGGUUCCUCGUCUGCGAAAUGGAGAUCAUAGUGCCUGGCUCCCUGAAAAUCGCGUUGAUUUUGAUUCAGUAUAAGGAAAGGAAGAGCUGGUGAGCAAUUAGAACUGAAGUUUCGGGUCCUGGAGUUACUCAAGAGGAGGCCAGCUUUCACCACUCUGCGCUGAAAUCUAGCACCUAGCUUCUGCACAUCUACAAGGUAGGAAGGAGUCCCUCAGCUGCUUCACGAGGCCCAGUUGGAAAGAAAGCCUCGAAAGUCAAUGCCAGUGAGCCAGCAGAAACGUGAGGGCACUGAGCCUCUCCCGAGAGUGUUGGCUUUAGAGUUGGCCUUGAAGUCAAGCUGGAGCCCUCCCAGGCGCUCACUCUGUGACCUCUGCCGUUAGCAACAACGACGUCUGAGCCCUUGCUGUGUGUCAGCCAAGGUGUUUACAUAUAUUAUCUCAUUUACUC